GGAUUGUGGCUCAGUGGUAGAGCACUCGCCUGCACGUGUGAGGCCCUGGGUUCGAUCCUCAGCACCA
RNAcentral lists this transfer RNA (67 nucleotides) under Marmota monax (woodchuck). Its description in RNAcentral is "tRNA.Undet". The stretch from base 5 to 64 matches the Rfam family "tRNA", at positions 6 to 65 of the family's 71-position model. From Rfam's summary of the family: Transfer RNA (tRNA) molecules are approximately 80 nucleotides in length. Their secondary structure includes four short double-helical elements and three loops (D, anti-codon, and T loops). Lineage: Eukaryota; Metazoa; Chordata; Mammalia; Rodentia; Sciuridae. The record is from RNAcentral.